CAGUCGCCGCGGUAAUACGAAGGGGGCUAGCGUUGUUCGGAUUUACUGGGCGUAAAGCGCACGUAUGCGGACUUUUAAGUCAGGGGUGAAAUCCCGUGGCUCAACCCCGGAACUGCCUUUGAUACUGGAAUUCUUGAGUAUGGUAGAGGUGAGUGGAAUUCCGAGUGUAGAGGUGAAAUUCGUAGAUAUUCGGAUGAACACCAGUGGCGAAGGCGGCUCACUGGACCAUUACUGACGCUGAGGUGCGAAAGCGUGGGGAGCAAACAGGAUUAGAUACCCCCGUAGUCCCUGUCUCUUAUAC
RNAcentral lists this ribosomal RNA (301 nucleotides) under uncultured bacterium. Its description in RNAcentral is "partial 16S ribosomal RNA". It matches the Rfam family "Bacterial small subunit ribosomal RNA", at positions 509 to 807 of the family's 1533-position model. The record is from RNAcentral.